GACGAACGCUGGCGGCGUGCUUAACACAUGCAAGUCGAACGGAAAGGCCCUGCUUUUGUGGGGUGCUCGAGUGGCGAACGGGUGAGUAACACGUGAGUAACCUGCCCUUGACUUUGGGAUAACUUCAGGAAACUGGGGCUAAUACCGGAUAGUAGCUCCUGCUGCAUGGUGGGGGUUGGAAAGUUUCGGCGGUUGGGGAUGGACUCUCGGCUUAUCAGCUUGUUGGUGGGGUAGUGGCUUACCAAGGCUUUGCCGGGUAGCCGGCCUGAGAGGGUGACCGGCCACAUUGGGAAUGAGAUACGGCCCAGACUCCUACGGGAGGCAACAGUGGGGAAUAUUGCACAAUGGGCGGAAGACUGAUGCAGCGACGCCGCGUGCGGGAUAACGGCCUUCGGGUUGUGAACCGCUUUCGCCUGUGACGAAGAGUGAGUGACGGUAAUGAGUAAAGAAGCACCGGCUAACUACGUG
RNAcentral lists this ribosomal RNA (468 nucleotides) under uncultured bacterium. RNAcentral's name for it is "partial 16S ribosomal RNA". It matches the Rfam family "Bacterial small subunit ribosomal RNA", at positions 28 to 507 of the family's 1533-position model. The record is from RNAcentral.